RNAcentral lists this ribosomal RNA (501 nucleotides) under uncultured bacterium. RNAcentral describes it as "partial 16S ribosomal RNA". It matches the Rfam family "Bacterial small subunit ribosomal RNA", at positions 29 to 523 of the family's 1533-position model. The record is from RNAcentral.
AUUGAACGCUGGCGGCAUGCCUUACAUAUGCAAGUCGAACGGCAGCACGGGUGCUUGCACCUGGUGGCGAGUGGCGAACGGGUGAGUAAUACAUCGGAACGUACCUUAUCGUGGGGGAUAACGCAGCGAAAGCUGUGCUAAUACCGCAUACGCCCUGAGGGGGAAAGCGGGGGAUCGAAAGACCUCGCGCGAUUAGAGCGGCCGAUGCCUGAUUAGCUUGUUGGUGGGGUAAAAGCCCACCAAGGCGACGAUCAGUAGCUGGUCUGAGAGGACGAUCAGCCACACUGGGACUGAGACACGGCCCAGACUCCCACGGGAGGCAGCAGUGGGGAAUUUUGGACAAUGGGGGCAACCCUGAUCCAGCAAUGCCGCGUGAGUGAAGAAGGCCUUCGGGUUGUAAAGCUCUUUUGUCAGGGAAGAAACACCGGCUCUAACACAGUCCGGGAAUGACGGUACCUGAAGAAUAAGCACCGGCUAACUACGUGCCAGCCGCCGCAGUAA